RNAcentral lists this ribosomal RNA (253 nucleotides) under uncultured bacterium. Its description in RNAcentral is "partial 16S ribosomal RNA". It matches the Rfam family "Bacterial small subunit ribosomal RNA", at positions 524 to 776 of the family's 1533-position model. The record is from RNAcentral.
UACGUAGGUGGCAAGCGUUGUCCGGAAUUAUUGGGCGUAAAGCGCGCGCAGGCGGUUCCUUAAGUCUGAUGUGAAAGCCCACGGCUCAACCGUGGAGGGUCAUUGGAAACUGGGGAACUUGAGUACAGAAGAGGAGAGCGGAAUUCCACGUGUAGCGGUGAAAUGCGUAGAGAUGUGGAGGAACACCAGUGGCGAAGGCGGCUCUCUGGUCUGUAACUGACGCUGAGGCGCGAAAGCGUGGGGAGCGAACAGG